AGAGUUUGAUCAUGGCUCAGACUGAACGCUGGCGGCAGGCCUAACACAUGCAAGUCGAGCGGUAGAGAGAAGCUUGCUUCUCUUGAGAGCGGCGGACGGGUGAGUAAUACCUAGGAAUCUGCCUGAUAGUGGGGGAUAACGUUCGGAAACGGACGCUAAUACCGCAUACGUCCUACGGGAGAAAGCAGGGGACCUUCGGGCCUUGCGCUAUCAGAUGAGCCUAGGUCGGAUUAGCUAGUUGGUGAGGUAAUGGCUCACCAAGGCUACGAUCCGUAACUGGUCUGAGAGGAUGAUCAGUCACACUGGAACUGAGACACGGUCCAGACUCCUACGGGAGGCAGCAGUGGGGAAUAUUGGACAAUGGGCGAAAGCCUGAUCCAGCCAUGCCGCGUGUGUGAAGAAGGUCUUCGGAUUGUAAAGCACUUUAAGUUGGGAGGAAGGGCAGUUACCUAAUACGUGAUUGUCUUGACGUUACCGACAGAAUAAGCACCGGCUAACUCUGUGCCAGCAGCCGCGGUAAUACAGAGGGUGCAAGCGUUAAUCGGAAUUACUGGGCGUAAAGCGCGCGUAGGUGGUUUGUUAAGUUGAAUGUGAAAUCCCCGGGCUCAACCUGGGAACUGCAUCCAAAACUGGCAAGCUAGAGUAUGGUAGAGGGUAGUGGAAUUUCCUGUGUAGCGGUGAAAUGCGUAGAUAUAGGAAGGAACACCAGUGGCGAAGGCGACUACCUGGACUGAUACUGACACUGAGGUGCGAAAGCGUGGGGAGCAAACAGGAUUAGAUACCCUGGUAGUCCAA
Molecule: ribosomal RNA, 795 nt
Filed under: uncultured bacterium
Lineage: Bacteria
Description: bacterial SSU rRNA
Rfam family: Bacterial small subunit ribosomal RNA
Source: RNAcentral